GGUAUGUUUCUCCAAGUGCACACGCGUGAAAGCCAGGCAUUAUGGACUGGAGUGCAACAGGGUUGGAGGGCGUUUUUAAGUAGUAUAGAGCGGUGUUCAAGGAUACACAUUAGAAAGAACAUCGAUUGGGUAUCAUACCACAAAGGCAUGUGAAACACUGCGAGGGACGUUUGUACCGGUGAUCGAGUUUCUACUCUGGCCCAUCAGCUGAAUAGGUGGGGCUUGAUCAAUGGCAGGAAACUGAAGGAUCAAAUGUCAUAAAAUGGUGCCAGGCUGCGACAUGAAGGCGGGGGCCAUGAAACCAUACCCUCAUCAUCAGACUGUACAGUAGAGAGACAGAGUUACACUCCCGGUGUAAGCAGGGCAUAAAAAUACUGCUGCAUGAUAAGGAGCUGCACAGGGACUUUGAACAUUUUAUUAGUAUCUAUAAAAGAGGCACAGGACGAAGGACGCGGUGUCUAUAAAGCCUUAAUGGAGGAUCAAUUAAGAUGGUCAAGCUGCUGAAAGAGACUUUUACAGUGUAGGGUUUUAACACUAACCUUGUCCUUUAACACUAACGUUAAAACCACAAGGCUGGAAAAUUCGGCUUAAUUUUCAUUCCAUUGCAUCAUCAAUAUUUUCUGAUCAGAAACAGUAAAAAUGUUUGUUAGUUUGAGUAAGAAUUUAAAAGUGAGCGGUGGGUCAAGGAGAAUUUCAACCUGCUUAAGUACAGAAUAAAACCUGUAAUAUGCUACUCACACACUAAUCAGAAUUUAUAAUCUACUUAACUAAUUAUAGAUUAUCUUGCAUUAUUUAAGUUACUUUAGAUUUGAACAUGUAAUAUAUAUAUAAAAAAUAAGAAAAAGGUAUUUAAUUUCCAUUUUCAUUAUUCUGAAAUAUCAUUAAAAAAAUGUGUAUUAGGGAAACUUAAAAAUAAAGCAGUAUUAAAAUAUAUACAAUUAUUCAAUGAAUAUGUAAAAGAUAAUCAACAGACUGUAUAGACAAUAGACAAUAUUCAUGUUUUGAAAAAUAUUUGAAACAAUAUUGCUUGUAUCACUCAUCUGUGUUUACUGAAUAUGUGUAAGAUCUGUAUUUUUAAACCUCUAUUCGGUAUUCUGGUGUGUGUGUGUGUGUGUGUGUGUGUGUUUUAUUUUGACCUCAUCAGUCAGAUGGUUUCAUUAUUUAAUGUGUAUUUGAGUUUCUCUAAAGGCAGAUAGUGUAUCACAACACAUAUUUCUGGUCAAAACUAAUAAGACCCUAUUAAUUUCUGCAUCUUCCAAACCUUCCCCCAAUCCCCAGUCUCUCUUUCUGUCGGGAUAUAGCAUGACAAAUUGAAUUACUUUUUGAACACACGACUGGCCAUCUAUCAAAAACAAGUCAAAAAUCUUCCCUGCGCAUGUUUAUGAAAGACAUUUCUAAACUCUUCCUGACCUGAAAUGUUUAUAUCCAGAGUUUACGUUGUGAACAUUUUAGAUGUCAUCAAAACCACCUUGCUCCAGGGGUAUAAAUUGAUUCCAUUUGUUGCCUGCCCAAGCGACUGGCCUCGGCCGCAGGAGCCAUACGAGGAGGAAACCGAGAAGCUGGAGAAAUCAGUUCUAAGAGGAGACACCGUGGACUUUCAGAGGGCUUCGUGAUGAGUGAAAAUCAGGGAUGGGGUUCAGUGGGAAAUCGCAUGCCAUGCCUCAAUCAGCAACAUGUCCCAACAACCAGGGAGGCAUGUGUCAAUCAAACCGAUGUGGGUUUGUGGGCAACCAGUGAAUCAGUAGUAAGGCUUUUAAGCCAUCAUUAAAGAAAAACUCAGAGAUGCUCUGCUGCACUGAUGUUAUACAUGUUAAUAUCAUACUGCCAAUAAUACCAUAAGACCAGGGGCAUCAUGUGCUCUUUAUGUUUUUUGGAUGGGACACAGAUGGCAGUUUUUGUUCAAUGCUUUAAGAUUAUGAAGAAAAAAAGUUUACUUAGUACUUCUGUUGUGUAAAUUUUGAUUUCUGCAUUCUAACAAGGAUAAGAAAUAAAGGACCAGUUUUGACAUUUUUUAAGCAAAAAAAAAAAAGGGAGGAUUGAUGAUGGCAUAAUUCCAAAAUAUCUUGA
Cyprinus carpio (common carp) is the source of this 2067-nucleotide long non-coding RNA. RefSeq lists it as uncharacterized. NCBI's taxonomy places the organism in Eukaryota, Metazoa, Chordata, Actinopteri, Cypriniformes, Cyprinidae. The record is from RefSeq and is a predicted model, not a curated record. The transcript is spliced from 3 exons.